This 240-nucleotide unclassified non-coding RNA is filed under the name uncultured fungus. RNAcentral describes it as "sequence contains ITS2". The stretch from base 1 to 52 matches the Rfam family "5.8S ribosomal RNA", at positions 103 to 154 of the family's 154-position model. The record is from RNAcentral. Lineage: Eukaryota; Fungi.
AACGCACAUUGCGCCCCUUGGUAUUCCGAGGGGCAUGCCUGUUCGAGCGUCAUUAACACCAAUCAAGCCUGGCUUGGUCUUGAGGCUCGCGACCUCGCGACCCCUAAAAUGAUUGGCGGCGUUACCUGGCUCUUAGCGUAGUAAUCUUUCUUGCUAUAGGGUCCCCGGUAGCUGCUCGCUCUCAACCCUCAAUUUCUCAGGAUUGACCUCGAAUCAGGUAGGGAUACCCGCUGAACUUAA